Molecule: transfer RNA, 72 nt
Filed under: Coscinodiscus wailesii
Lineage: Eukaryota; Bacillariophyta; Coscinodiscophyceae; Coscinodiscales; Coscinodiscaceae
Description: tRNA-Met
Rfam family: tRNA
About the family: Transfer RNA (tRNA) molecules are approximately 80 nucleotides in length. Their secondary structure includes four short double-helical elements and three loops (D, anti-codon, and T loops).
Source: RNAcentral
UGUAAAGAGGAGCAACGGUAGCUCGUUAGGCUCAUGUUCUAAAGGUUAAAGGUUCAAAUCCUUUCUUUACAA